GAGAGAGAGUGAUGCUAAACACUCCCUGUGAUUGUUAUGGAAAUCCAUUUCUCUGCAUGCUGUUGUCAUGGCAGCUUCAGAUCAAGAAAACACAUGUCAGGUUGACCAAAGGAAAUUAAGAGAAAGAAAAAGAUACAACGCAUACAGAUGUAGAUGGAAGAGCUGGUUGUUCAGCAUAAAGCGAAUGGGGAAAAUAAGUGUUGGAAGAUGGACCUUUUCUCUAGAGAACUUUGCAGACUGGUUUGGAGGAAACCGGGACAUCAUGAAUUACCACUGCUGCAUCCAGAGAUGAAACAGCCAUGAGGAGGUCCAACCUCUGAUGGAAGAAAAUACAGAGUUACCAUGCAGCAAUGACUCUGAAUCAAUGCGAUUUGCUCUUGUAAAUGUAUUGAAUCAAUGAGAUGAACUUCUGUUGCUCUACUCUAGUCAAAACCAACAAUUAUGAUGGCCUACAAAAGGACCCUCUCCACUAAUAGAAGACUUCCAUUAAAGAUGAAGCUUUGGGGUUCCUGGUCCUCUACUCCUUACUAUGAUACCAAUUUAGGCAUCCAUGAAUAACACAACAAAUCUCAGAGUAUAUCUUAAUCUUUGGUUUUUCCAUCAUGCAACAUGGACACUACGGCCACAUGUUUUAGCUUCCAUAAGAGAGUCCUCUGUUUGAAGGGCUGGUUGGUGAAUAGUCUUGAACGUAUCCUCUAUUUGAAAGUCAGGUUGAAGAGAAAGAGCACUAAAAACAGGAGAGGAGAAGGGGUCUCAUGACAAGUUGGCUCCUGGGCCACAGAAUAAGGGCCACUGAUUUGCCAAGUCCACUAUCCCCAUCUAGAAUGGAGAAUGUCUAGCCCUCUAGUUACUGGGCUUCACUUUCCUUCAUUCCUCAGUGUUACCUCUGUUGGCUAGGGCAGAUGGAAGUAACCGCCCAGCGGUAUCUGAAGAGCGCCAUGUUGCCCAUCCUUGGUCUACUCCAACUGGUCAUUCCUCGGGUGACCUGUCUGAGAACAUUUUAAUACAAUGUUGGAGAAUGUGAGGUUCUCUGGUCGCUCUUGGUCUUCGAAUCUCAUCAGCCCCAGAAAUUAUGAUCCAUAUCAGGCACGACUGAAAUUGUAGUCCAGCCAUGUUUGGAAAGCUGUAUGGUUUGGGGUCUUCUUGUACUGUGUCAUGGGUAAUGAUAAUACUGAAUGUAUUCGCGAAGGCUUUCACGGCCGGGAUCUAAUGGUUGUUGUGGGUUUUUCGUGCUCUUUGGCCAUGUUCUGAAGGUUUUGCCAGUCUCUAUGGCCGGCAUCUUCAGAGGACAG
Molecule: long non-coding RNA, 1292 nt
Filed under: Pogona vitticeps (central bearded dragon)
Lineage: Eukaryota; Metazoa; Chordata; Lepidosauria; Squamata; Agamidae
Description: lncRNA (ENSPVIG00000020126.1)
Source: RNAcentral